RNAcentral lists this ribosomal RNA (474 nucleotides) under uncultured bacterium. RNAcentral describes it as "partial 16S ribosomal RNA". It matches the Rfam family "Bacterial small subunit ribosomal RNA", at positions 36 to 538 of the family's 1533-position model. The record is from RNAcentral.
AACGAACGCUGGCGGCAUGCCUAACACAUGCAAGUCGAACGAGACCUUCGGGUCUAGUGGCGCACGGGUGCGUAACGCGUGGGAACCUGCCCUUAGGUUCGGAAUAACUCCCCGAAAGGGGUGCUAAUACCGGAUAAUGUCUUCGGACCAAAGAUUUAUCGCCUUUGGAUGGGCCCGCGUUGGAUUAGCUAGUUGGUAGGGUAAAAGCCUACCAAGGCGACGAUCCAUAGCUGGUCUGAGAGGAUGAUCAGCCACACUGGGACUGAGACACGGCCCAGACGACGGGGGGAGGCGGGGGUGGGAAAUGAGCGACGGGGGGAGGCGGCCGGAGCGAGCAGGGCGGGGUGGGGAAGGAAGGCAUGAGGGUUGUAAACGUCCUUUCCCCGGUAGAAAAAGUACGGUGCGGGGGGACUAACCCCCGGAAAACCCCGCGCCAGGAGCGGCGGUAAUAAGGGGAAGACCACACGUCGGAAC